Molecule: ribosomal RNA, 427 nt
Filed under: uncultured bacterium
Lineage: Bacteria
Description: partial 16S ribosomal RNA
Rfam family: Bacterial small subunit ribosomal RNA
Source: RNAcentral
UGGGGAAUAUUGCACAAUGGGCGCAAGCCUGAUGCAGCCAUGCCGCGUGUAUGAAGAAGGCCUUCGGGUUGUAAAGUACUUUCAGCGGGGAGGAAGGCGAUAAGGUUAAUAACCUUGUCGAUUGACGUUACCCGCAGAAGAAGCACCGGCUACCUCCGUGCCAGUAGCCGCGGUAAUACGGAGGGUGCAAGCGUUAAUCGGAAUUCCUGGGCGUAAAGCGCACGCAGGCGGUCUGUCAAGUCGGAUGUGAAAUCCCCGGGCUCAACCUGGGAACUGCAUUCGAAACUGGCAGGCUAGAGUCUUGUAGAGGGGGGUAGAAUUCCAGGUGUAGCGGUGAAAUGCGUAGAGAUCUGGAGGAAUACCGGUGGCGAAGGCGGCCCCCUGGACAAAGACUGACGCUCAGGUGCGAAAGCGUGGGGAGCAAACA